AUUCAACCUUAGUUAAAAAUGACACUCUAAAUUUUUGAAUAUUUUCACCAAAUUUUUGGCAUUUAUAGUCCACCUACUUAGAGGUAAACUUAAUAGUGAAAAAGUGUAAACAACUGAUUUUAUUGUUGCAUGAUGUAAAUUUCAGUUUGAUUUUUGUCUACAUUUCAAUUAAAUGAGGUCACAAUUUAUUUAGUAAAGUGCUCAAAAUAUUUGUAAGGAUAAAGUGUUUCAUAUACAAAUAUGUAAGCAGAAGUUUUUCUUGUAGUAAUUAUGUGUUCACAAAAUAUUUCAGUCUGCUCAUAUUUAUUACUGACAGAUUAUGCAAAUUUUGUCAGUUUUUUGUGUCCUUUUUUUCACUGUUCAAUUUCCAGUCAUAGUAUGGCACAAUUGUAUUUUCGUUCUUUGUUAUUAGCCACAAUAUAUUUUUGGUUUAAUAAAUUUUGUUCCAGAUCACUAGUCCUUAUCAAACUUUAAAACCAUGUUCCUUGGCAAACUUGGGAUUCCAACAUCAUUCUAACCACUCUAUUCUUGAAAAAAAAUCAAUAUACACUAAGCAACUUUUGUCAACUAUUUUGUAAUACAUUAUUACAGGUUUCUUCUGAUCUUGAUGCAGUGCAGUUUUUAUAUGACGGUAAAUUUACUGAAAGGUUGAGUCUAUCUAUUUUUAGUUCUCUAGCAAUAUGUUGUCCUUCAACAUAACUAAAGAUAUAGUUGAUCAAUCCUUGUUGUGGUCAGUGGCUUUACCCAUUUCUAAAAUAAAACUUUACAAUGUAGACACAUAAAAGUUACUCCAAGUUUUGAAGCAACAUAAUUUUCUAUAAAAGCCUAUUAAUAAAAUGUGUUAAAGUUGACCAAAGUGCUAAAAAUCUCUUGUUUUAUUUAUAAUUUUUCAUAUGCCUCCAACAAUAACUUUCACUCAGGUUCUUCUUAAGAUUAAGUAUUUUCCAAGUGAUUCUGUAGAACACCUACUAUUAUCAAGCUUCAAAUGACAAACAGAGCUAACAUUUGCACUUUUAUUUGGUCCACUGAUUGUCAUGUUUAGCCCACAAGUGUAUCAGAUAAAAUGAUUGGGUUUGAUUUACAAGUAUUUCUGAAUUUUUAUCAAUGUUGUGUUGUAAUUCUGUGCCCAGCAUAGGCUUUUUAGUUGUUUUCUUUAUAAAAUCCCUAUAUGUUGUAAAGCAACACAUUUGACAUUGAUUUUGCCUGCAUUUAUAUGUAAUUCAGAUUAGAAAAUGUGUCCUUUGGGUUAUAAGAAAUAAAGGGGAAAAGAUGCUAAAAUGGACUAAUGAAUAUCUUUUUUGAUUUUAAUGCAAUAUUUUUUAUUUUGACAUUUGUUAGAAAAUUGCUGAAGGUCUUUCCAUUUCCAAGUUGUGGCUUGGAUGGAGAGUUGUCUCAUUAACACUUAUACCACAUCUUCUUAUAUCUAUAUAGCACAACAAAGUAUAAACUUUCUUGUUCAUCUUUCUCUAUCAGUAUGGCACAUGUUGAAUUUUCUGCAACCAUUUGUCCAUCUUUUGUAACACAUCACAUUUGAAUAUGAAACCUCAAUUUAAAUGAAUGAAUGAAGUUGCAAUGCCCUCAUUAAAUACACUAUUUGAUAGUUGUAUAUGUUAUGAACAUGCUAAUGUUUCUAAUUCAUUAUCACUAAGCAUUAUUACCUUAUGUCUAUAUAUAUAUGUAUGCCUUUAUUUGUUUAUUUUAGUUCAUUGUUAGAGCCUUCAACUGUUUUAUUAUGGUGCUU
This 1741-nucleotide long non-coding RNA is filed under the name Mytilus galloprovincialis (Mediterranean mussel). The record is from RNAcentral. Lineage: Eukaryota; Metazoa; Mollusca; Bivalvia; Mytilida; Mytilidae.